GGGCAUUUGGCACAGUGGUAGCGCGCACGCUUUGCAUCUUUUCGUUUGCUAACGAGACAGUGCGUGAGGUCCAGGGUUCAAGCCCCUGAAUGUCCA
This is a non-coding RNA of Amylocystis lapponica, 96 nucleotides long. The record is from the annotation of a GenBank genome assembly. NCBI's taxonomy places the organism in Eukaryota, Fungi, Basidiomycota, Agaricomycetes, Polyporales, Postiaceae.